This 492-nucleotide ribosomal RNA is filed under the name uncultured bacterium. RNAcentral describes it as "partial 16S ribosomal RNA". It matches the Rfam family "Bacterial small subunit ribosomal RNA", at positions 29 to 507 of the family's 1533-position model. The record is from RNAcentral.
AGUGAACGCUGGCGGUAGGCCUAACACAUGCAAGUCGAACGGCAGCACAGUAAGAGCUUGCUCUUACGGGUGGCGAGUGGCGGACGGGUGAGGAAUACAUCGGAAUCUACUUUUUCGUGGGGGAUAACGUAGGGAAACUUACGCUAAUACCGCAUACGACCUACGGGUGAAAGCAGGGGAUCUUCGGACCUUGCGCGAUUGAAUGAGCCGAUGUCGGAUUAGCUAGUUGGCGGGGUAAAGGCCCACCAAGGCGACGAUCCGUAGCUGGUCUGAGAGGAUGAUCCGCCACACUGGAACUGAGACACGGUCCAGACUCCUACGGGAGGCAGCAGUGGGGAAUAUUGGGCAAUGGGCGCAAGCCUGAUCCAGCCAUACCGCGUGGGUGAAGAAGGCCUUCGGGUUGUAAAGCCCUUUUGUUGGGAAAGAAAAGCAGCAGGUUAAUACCCCGCUGUUCUGACGGUACCCAAAGAAUAAGCACCGGCUAACUUCGUG